Molecule: ribosomal RNA, 508 nt
Filed under: uncultured bacterium
Lineage: Bacteria
Description: bacterial SSU rRNA
Rfam family: Bacterial small subunit ribosomal RNA
Source: RNAcentral
UCAGAUUGAACGCUGGCGGCAGGCCUAACACAUGCAAGUCGAACGGUAACAGAAAGCAGCUUGCUGCUUUGCUGACGAGUGGCGGACGGGUGAGUAAUGUCUGGGAAACUGCCUGAUGGAGGGGGAUAACUACUGGAAACGGUAGCUAAUACCGCAUAACGUCGCAAGACCAAAGAGGGGGACCUUCGGGCCUCUUGCCAUCGGAUGUGCCCAGAUGGGAUUAGCUUGUUGGUGGGGUAACGGCUCACCAAGGCGACGAUCUCUAGCUGGUCUGAGAGGAUGACCAGCCACACUGGAACUGAGACACGGUCCAGACUCCUACGGGAGGCAGCAGUGGGGAAUAUUGCACAAUGGGCGCAAGCCUGAUGCAGCCAUGCCGCGUGUAUGAAGAAGGCCUUCGGGUUGUAAAGUACUUUCAGCGGGGAGGAAGGGAGUAAAGUUAAUACCUUUGCUCAUUGACGUUACCCGCAGAAGAAGCACCGGCUAACUCCGUGCCAGCAGCCGCGGU